Oncorhynchus tshawytscha (Chinook salmon) is the source of this 950-nucleotide long non-coding RNA. RefSeq lists it as uncharacterized. The transcript is spliced from 3 exons. NCBI's taxonomy places the organism in Eukaryota, Metazoa, Chordata, Actinopteri, Salmoniformes, Salmonidae. The record is from RefSeq and is a predicted model, not a curated record.
AGGUUUGUUAAAAUACAGCCCUUAGAUUUACCAUUGUGUUAGGUUUGUUAAAAUACAGCCAUUAGGUUUACCAUUAUGUUAGGUUUGUUAAAAUACAGCCAUUAGGUUUACCAUUGUGUUAGGUUUGUUAAAAUACAGCCCUUAGAUUUACCAUUGUGUUAGGUUUGUUAAAAUACAGCCAUUAGGUUUACCAUUAUGUUAGGUUUGUUAAAAUACAGCCAUUAGGUUUACCAUUGUGUUAGGUUUGUUAAAAUACAGCCCUUAGGUUUACCAUUGUGUUAGGUUUGUUAAAAUACAGCCAUUAGAUUUACCAUUAUGUUAGGUUUGUUAAAAUACAGCCCUUAGAUUUACCAUUGUGUUAGGUUUGUUAAAAUACAGCCAUUAGAUUUACCAUUGUGUUAGGUUUGUUAAAAUACAGCCCUUAGGUUUACCAUUAUGUUAGGUUUGUUAAAAUACAGCCCUUAGGUUUACCAUUAUGUUAGGUUUGUUAAAAUACAGCCAUUAGAUUUACCAUUGUGUUAGGUUUGUUAAAAUACAGCCCUUAGGUUUACCAUUAUGUUAGGUUUGUUAAAAUACAGCCCUUAGAUUUACCAUUGUGUUAGGUUUGUUAAAAUACAGCCCUUAGGUUUACCAUUGUGUUAGGUUUGUUAAAAUACAGCCCUUAGGUUUACCAUUAUGUUAGGUUUGUUAAAAUACAGCCCUUAGGUUUACCAUUAUGUUAGGUUUGUUAAAAUACAGCCCUUAGGUUUACCAUUGUGUUAGGUUUGUUAAAAUACAGCCCUUAGGUUUACCAUUAUGUUAGGUUUGUUAAAAUACAGCCAUUAGGUUUGUUAAAAUACAGCCAUUAGGUUUACCAUUAUGUUAGGUUUGUUAAAAUACAGCCAUUAGGUUUACCAUUGUGUUAGGUUUGUUAAAAUACAGCCCUUAGAUUUACCAUUGUGUUAGGUUUG